CAAAAGAGUGGGAAGAGCUUUGAGUAGAGGUGACAAAUCUACCGAGCGCAGUUAUAGCUGGUUGCCUGAGAAAUGAAUAAAGUUCAGCCCUUUAAGUCUUUCCCCAAUCACCCACGCUCUAUGCCAUUAAGACUAAGGAAACUAAAGGAGUUAGUCAAAAGGGGAACAGCCCUUUUGACAAAAGAAACAACUUUAAUAGGUGACCCAAGAUCAUAUUAUAAAAGGACUGUAGAUUAAGUGGGCUUAAGAGCAGCCAUCUUAAAAGAAAGCGUUAUACCUCGAAUUAAUUACUACCCCUUUAUUCUGAUAACAUAUCUCCCUCCCUAAUCCCCUAUCAGGCUGUCUUAUGCCUCCAUAAGAACAAUUAUGCUAAAAUGAGUAAUAAGAAGAACUAUGCUCUUCUCCCAGCACAUGUGUAAGUCAGAACGGACUCUCCACCGACUAUUAACCGACCCCAAACCCAGAGGGUAAUAAGUUUAAUAAACAAGAAAAACACUUAUUUUAAAUCGUUAACCCAACACAGGUGUGCCUUAAGGAAAGACUAAAAGAGAAGGAAGGAACUCGGCAAACACAAGCCUCGCCUGUUUACCAAAAACAUCGCCUCUUGCUCACUAAGUAUAAGAGGUCCCGCCUGCCCAGUGACUACAUGUUUAACGGCCGCAGUAUUUUAACCGCGCGAAGGUAGCGUAAUCACCUGUUUUUUAAAUGAAGACCUGUAUGAAUGGCUCAACGAGGGCUUAACUGUCUCCCUCCUCCAGUCAAUGAAAUUGACCUCCCCGUGCAGAGGCGGGGAUAUUUACAUAAGACGAGAAGACCCUGUGGAGCUUUAGACCUAAAAUAAGUCACGUUUAACAUUCUGUAAUAUCAGUAAAAACUCAGCGACGAUUAUUGAAGUGUCUUCGGUUGGGGCGACCCUGGGGAAAAACACAACCCCCAUGUGGACUGGGAAUACUAUUCCUAACACUCAGAGCCUCUACUCCAAGUAACAGAAAUUCUGACCUUUCUGAUCCGGUAAUAACCGAUCAACGAAUCAAGUUACCCCAGGGAUAACAGCGCAAUCCCCUCUAAGAGCCCUUAUCGACGAGGGGGUUU
Molecule: ribosomal RNA, 1092 nt
Filed under: Trachyrincus scabrus (roughsnout grenadier)
Lineage: Eukaryota; Metazoa; Chordata; Actinopteri; Gadiformes; Macrouridae
Description: partial 16S ribosomal RNA
Rfam family: Bacterial large subunit ribosomal RNA
Source: RNAcentral